This 510-nucleotide ribosomal RNA is filed under the name uncultured Ruminococcus sp. Its description in RNAcentral is "bacterial SSU rRNA". It matches the Rfam family "Bacterial small subunit ribosomal RNA", at positions 249 to 776 of the family's 1533-position model. Lineage: Bacteria; Bacillati; Bacillota; Clostridia; Eubacteriales; Oscillospiraceae. The record is from RNAcentral.
CUGGUCAGGUAACGGCUUACCAAGGCGAAGAUCAGUAGCCGACCUGAGAGGGGGACCGGCCACAUUGGGACUGAGACACGGCCCAAACUCCUACGGGAGGCAGCAGUGGGGAAUAUUGCACAAUGGGGGAAACCCUGAUGCAGCGACGCCGCGUGAGCGAAGAAGUAUUUCGGUAUGUAAAGCUCUAUCAGCAGGGAAGAAAAUGACGGUACCUGACUAAGAAGCACCGGCUAAAUACGUGCCAGCAGCCGCGGUAAUACGUAUGGUGCAAGCGUUAUCCGGAUUUACUGGGUGUAAAGGGAGCGUAGACGGAUGGGCAAGUCUGAUGUGAAAACCCGGGGCUCAACCCCGGGACUGCAUUGGAAACUGUUCAUCUAGAGUGCUGGAGAGGUAAGUGGAAUUCCUAGUGUAGCGGUGAAAUGCGUAGAUAUUAGGAGGAACACCAGUGGAGAAGGCGGCUUACUGGACAGUAACUGACGUUGAGGCUCGAAAGCGUGGGGAGCAAACAGG